AUCAUGUAAGCCAGUGAGGAAGCAACCACAAGACUGAUGGCUGUGUGUCCUCUCCGAGAGACCUAAAAAUGAGGAUAUAAUGCCUUAAGAGCGCAUAGAACCUGACUAGAUCAGGCCUAGAGGAACUCUUCUGGGAGCCGCAUUCUAAAGUCAAGCACGAUUGCAGUCCCUAUGACCAAGAAAAACUCUGUGAUGGAGACUUGAGUUAUCCCUUCUUUCAUGUGAUGCCAGCUUGCCAAGCCCAACUAUUUUGCCCACCCCAAGACCGGAGUUGGAUUGCAAUGCUGAACGGUCGAUUGAAAACCAAGUUUAGACGUCUUCAACGGCACCAGCAGCAGUAGCAAGCGAAAUCUUUUUGGACGUUUGCCGCAGUCACACAGGCAAAGUAGUCUGUAACACAAAGGUUAGCGAUUAAUCGUACGCUUGAUUUUUCACGAUUGACGGUACACUGUAAUCAAUGGAAUCAAUCGUAGAAAAAUGCUGUAUGAUCAUUGCUAAGCUUUGUGUUGCGGGUGCCAGAUUGACCAAUUCUGUUACUAGUAUAUUAUUACCAAUGCCAUUCCAUCUACAGCAUGGAGCCUGUAUCAUUUGGGUGAUUAUUUUUAAGGUCAAGCCUAUUUGAAUUAUGACACAUUGUUGUGAUCCACUGAAUUAAACACAUUAUGAAUUAAUUACCAAGAGAUCAUGUAAGUAGCUGUUGGCUUGGCCACUCCCCCCCCCCCCCCGAUAUAUUGUGCUGAUUGAAUGAACAAACCACAUCAGUAUUAUUGAUGUAAUGUGAAGCGAUGGUUUGACCCAUUCAUGCCCCCACCCUACAAGUAAAAAUGCACCUUUACCCAGGCACUUUUGAGUUAUUACCUGCUUUAAUAAUUCAUUACCUGCCCAGUUUCAAAGUUAUGACACGCCUCCUAUUUCGGAGACACAGGACACACCCCCUCCACCUCCUUUUAUAAGAGGACAAACUAGGACCACCCCCUUCCACACACCCACACACACACUAUUCAUGCCUACUUCCUGCAAUAACCCCUUGAAGGAAGAAUGGGCCUCCAUGACCCCCCACACACUCCAUCCCUACCCCAUUCUAAUAGUUCCCCUCCACCCCCCCCCCCAAUCCCCCUCUGAAAAAAAAUACACACACACACACACUAUUCCUACUAUCCAGCAAUCAUAGAGCUACUGUGUUAGCUCCAUGCAGCAAUGAACCCUCGAUGUGAUAAGAGAAGAAUGGACAUACAUACCCCCCUACACACUCCACCCCUGUCCCAUUCUAAGAGUUCCCCUCCACCCCCCCCUUCUGAAAAAAAACCCCACUAUUCAUACUAUUCCUACUAUCCAGCAAUCAACCUCUUCCAGUGAUAAGAAAAGAAUAGGCCUAUACAUACCAACACAGCUAGUCAUGCACAUAAUAAAGAAAUCAGAGCUCUUCCACAAACAAACUACAGAAGACAGCAUCAAAAGACCUUGACAAUGAGCUAAUAUUUAAGAGGGGAUUUUCCCUGGAAGGAUGUCUUAAGAAGGGGGUCUGGUUUUUCGGGAGCACCCGCCCAAGGGGCUUUGUUUGCGACCCUAUUAUCACCCCAUGCCUCGUCUUGAAUGUGUACACUUGACCACUUAAUGAGCGAGCAGACAGGAGACGAGUUGAAAAUCACUGCAUUGCAUUGCAUCUUGUAAUUGCCCAGAUAACGUCUGUAAGGCCUGUUGGUCAGUGCGUCUACCAAACGAGUUAAAGGUCUAGGGGUUCAAACCCAAGGCAGGUGAAUGAAGCUUGUGUGGCGUUAACUUAUCCCAUGGACCUAUAGGUCCAUGCUUAUCCCUAAUUCCUUCUCCUUUGGCAAAAGAAAAAAUGACAACCCAAAGAUGUUAAAUGAAGGUCCAAAAUCGAAAAGCCUCCUCUAACAUUGUGGCCUUUCGGUCAGUGACUGCCAGAUGAAAACAUAAGGUGUCGGAUUCAAACCGCAAGAUAGAUAAAUGAACGAAGCUUUAAUGGUGCCUGUAUAUCCUUAAUCAAAUUGUGACAGAAGGAAAGCCACCAAUUGGGCGGUGGGUUUCCUUAUAGUCCCAUGUAGCAAAGACUUUCCUACGAGGCCAGUUGGUCAGUGGGUCUGCCAUUCAGGUCAGAAAACUAGGGUUCAAGUCUGAUCCAGACAGACACACCCCUAGGCACUUCACUUUCCAGUAACCAGAUCGGGGGGGGGGGGGGGUUUCAUAAAGCUGUUCGUAAGUUUAGAGCAACUUAAAGAACGACUGGUGAACCUUUCUUACGUGCUAACCCAUCGCAAUGAACAUUUUGGUGUAUACCAUUUCGCACAAGAAAGGAUCACCAGUCGUUCUUAAAGUCGCUCUUAACUUACAGACAGCUUUAUGAAACACACUCCAGGUUGUUAAAUUGAGGUCCAAAAUAGAGAAUACUUUUCUGUGAGGCCUCAGGACUGUUGGUGGAUGGGUCUGCCAGACGAGUCAGAAAUCUGGGAUUCAAAUCCAACCCCGGCAGAUGCAAUAUUAAAGCUUGUAUCAAUAACCUUACAUGGGUCAUGUCCAGUUGAAAACACUAAAUCCCAUGGAUAGGGUAUUAAAUUCCCUUUCCCUUUUUAGCUGCUAUUACUCAAGCAUUUCUUUUGCCUAUAUAGUUUGCCACUGGAUUUUUUCAUUAUCUUAUGCUUACAGUUGUAUUUAUGUCAAAAAAAAAAUUUAUUUCUCCUCCGUUACACAUUUGUCACAUUGCAAUGUAAGUUAUCGUCAUAUUACGAUUAUGUUUAUGUAUUGUAAAUUUAUUUUGACUUUGCAAUAAAUGCAGAAACUCCUGCAAAACAAAAUAUUGUCCCCCUACUCCUGCUCCUCUCUAUCUCUCUCCCUUUCUCAGUACCAAUUUAAGGACAUGGGAAGCGUUUGCCCCCUCUCCUUUAAAAAUUGCUGUGGCCACUGCCCAUUCUUUCCUCCUCAUAAUCUAUCUAAUUCAUCUAUCUAUCUCUCUCUCUCUCUCCUAUCUUCUCCUCUCUCCAUCUCUCUCACCUUUUUAUAUUUACUCUAUUCAACCAUGGCUGCGUUUAUGCGACCUCAAGCCAGAAUCAUGAUUUGAAUCAUGAUUUGAAUCAUGAUUCAAAACACAAACAUGAAUCACAAUAUCACAGAAUCAGCGUUUAGACGACCUUCAUUCCAAUGCUGUUUCUCCUCAGAUUCGGGCCAAUCCAGUGUGCAUCACUAGUGCGCAGUUUGACAGAGGACGUUUUUCGCACGUGUUUCGGCUCUCGAAAAUUCUUUUGCUUCCAUCAGAAUUCAGUCUAUACCUCAUUUUGUUUACUUCUAUCAUAAAGGGUCCAUAUGCUUCUAUUCAUCUUGUUAGUUUAUCCAAAAUGGUGUUCGGAAGUGAAUUUCAGCGUAGAUCCAAUUUGAUAUUGAUACUGUAUACUCAACAACAACUGAGAUCAUUGUCUGUCCAGUUAAUUCAUUUACUAGAACUUGAAGUUGAAGACAUGACCAAAAAAUGAAAAGUAGUGGACGAUGCGAUGACCAACACAGAACUUGAACAUGACAAGAAAUGAAUUCAUAGUCAUGUACAUACAAUGAGCAUAUAGAGCGCCUUGAGCUUGGCAAGAGCAUGGACCUAUUACGUAAUAGGUCCAUGGCAAGAGUCAAACCGAAAGUAGCCCGACACAACAGUGAGGUCAUAUAAUCAUGAUUGUAAUCACGAUAUCGUUUAUUCGAACAUUUUCGUACGUGAUUCUGCAGAAACGUCUUUCCAAACGCCCCUUUUUUCGUGUUUCAUGUUUGUGAUUCUAAUCAUGAUUAUAUUCAAUUUCGACUAAACGCAAUCGUGAUUCUGCAGAAUCAUGAUUUGAAUCAUGAUUCAAAUCAUGAUUCUAGGGUAAAAAAGUGGCGGAUAAACGCACCCUUAUUUAGUAAGCUCAUCUGUUUUCUCACUUUCCCUCUCCCCUCCCAUCCCGAGCUAUGUCUCCCUCUUUAUUUUCUUUCACUCCAGAAUUGAAGUGUCCUGUUAGACAAUAAAUUAAAUCUGGAGACUUUACACUUCAGAUCUUGUAAAUCUUGCUCCCAAAGAAAAUCCCCCAAAAUGUGAAGGGUUUCUUUUCUCUUUGCUUAUUGGCCUAAGCACAUUCUCUGAAAAGGAGAGAAGACUUUCAGGAGUUGGAGAGUUUUAUGUGUGUGUUCUUUAGAGCCUACUCUAUGGUUUUCAUUUAAAGGGAAAGUCUAGCCCCCCCCAAAAAAAAAAUUAAUAAUUAUGAUAAAUGGCAUGGGUGAACGCUUAAAGUUUUAGCAAUUCUAGAUUUGCCCCUCCCCUUUCCCUUCCCCCGUAUGUGUCACAAUAUAGCUUAUGUUACCAGAAAAAUAAGAAAUUAAGAACAUUUUUGAACGAUACAUCAACUCAUGUAAUUAAAAAUGUACAAUGAUUUGAUUCAUUUGAAAUUGCUCACGUAUUACAUGAAUAAAUUCAUGAAAUAAAAGGGAGAAUGAAUGAUUUAUUUCGUUUGAUUCGUAAUUACUGUAGCCUCCGUACAAGAAUUUCUUUUGUUAGUGCAGUAGGUCCAUGGUUAGUGUGAUAGUGAGUAGGGCAAUGCCAUAUAGUGUAUACAUGUACAUUAUGUACAUCUGACUUUCCUACAUUUUGGACCAUUCUGAAAUGAUUUCUCAUUUCUUUAUAGUUAUGAUGUGGGUGCAUCGUGGUCUAGUGGUUAAGACUCUCGUCGUUCAAUGUGAGAGGCGUGGGUUCGAUUCCCAGCCAUGUUUUCUGUCAGCAAGAAAUUUACCCACAUUGUGCUGCACUCAACCCGGGUGGGGUAAAUGGGUACCCGGAGGAAGUAAUUCCUCAAAAAGCUCUGAGCACCGGAAUCGGUAGACUUGCUUAGCCGGGGUAAUAGGAGCGCCUUGAGCACCUAGCAAGGUGGAAACGUGCACUAUACAAAUCCUGUAUUAUUAUGUAAGAUGAUGUAAUGGUCAUGUUCUUCAAUUUUGGUUUGAGCCGUUCAUGAAGUGAGCAUGGAGGUCAGAUAUUCAAAAAUUUAAUGAGGAUGAUUAUUCAUAAAAGUGCCCCAAAAUGAGUGAUAUGAUUUUACUUUUUGAAGGACGGUCUUGGCCUUUAAUUCUAGAACCAUGAAUCACCCCAUCCCAGCUAAAGUUGGACCAACAAAAAUCCUUAGUCCUAAUGAGGGCCUAAACCUGUAGCCAAACACUCACUUGGAGAAGAUCAACAUUUUUCUCAAAUUGGAUUUUGCUCUUCAGUCCAAAGAGGCCGUGGGAAGGGGGAGGUGGUGGGGGCUUUCGCCUAUUGUUCCAAGAAAUUCAUUAUCAUUGUCAUUUUGUGGUAGUCUAUGAAAGUUUGUAUACCCCUCUAGUACGAUGAGUCUAUUGCCAAUGCCAUACAGGUUUGUGUAUUGAUUGGGAAAAGGAAUGGGUUUAUACAUAAAUUUCAAGGAAUGAAAAUUAUAUCUAAAUUAUUAUUUUACCUGUUGUCCUGGAAACAUGUAAUUUAAGAAUGGUUGGACAAGGCCAAGAAAUCAGAUUAAAUGAGGGAUGCAUCCUUGAUGAAAGGAAAUUAUUCACAUUAUAUCGUUUGAUAUCGGUAUUAAAAAUUUGUUUAUUAUUAAAUAUUUGUUUAGUAUAUUUUUAACUGCUAUGCUUCAAGCUGCUAUGCUUCAAGCAUAUAUUUGCUUAUAUAGUUUGCCUCUGCAUUUUACUUAUUAUAUAUAUUUUUUAUUUAUUGUAUUUAUGUCUUUCUCCAGUCACUACAUAUAAGAUUGUCACUUGGUUAUGUACUUUAUGCUAUAUUAUGAUUAUGUCUCAAGCAUUGUAAAUUUGUUUUGUAUAUAUUCCAAUAAAUGCAGAAAAUCCUGCAAAAAAAA
Long non-coding RNA from Lytechinus pictus (painted urchin), 5852 nucleotides. RefSeq lists it as uncharacterized. Lineage: Eukaryota; Metazoa; Echinodermata; Echinoidea; Temnopleuroida; Toxopneustidae. The record is from RefSeq and is a predicted model, not a curated record. The transcript has 3 exons.